GUAGGACGGAUAAUCGCAGCUGCUAUUGCCGAAAGGACGCAGGUGAGGAAAGUCCGGGCUUCACAGGGCAGGAUGCCGGAUAACGUCCGGUGGAGGCGACUCUAAGGAUAGUGCAACAGAAAUAUACCGCCAGCUUAUGAUGGUAAGGGUGGAAGGGCAGUUUAAGAGACUACCGCCCGGCUGGUAACAGCCGGGGCAUAUGUAAACCCCAUCCGAAGCAAGACUGAAUAGAAAGCAUAUGGUGGCCCGCCAGCUUUCGGGUAGGUCGCUUGAUCUUAUCGGCAACGAUAAGGCUAGAUAGAUGAUUAUCGAAACAUAACCCGGCUUACGGUCCUGCUUGA
Molecule: RNase P RNA, 341 nt
Filed under: bovine gut metagenome
Also listed under: 1 other name
Description: Bacterial RNase P class A
Rfam family: Bacterial RNase P class A
About the family: Ribonuclease P (RNase P) is a ubiquitous endoribonuclease, found in archaea, bacteria and eukarya as well as chloroplasts and mitochondria.
Source: RNAcentral